Molecule: long non-coding RNA, 808 nt
Filed under: Anas platyrhynchos platyrhynchos (common mallard)
Lineage: Eukaryota; Metazoa; Chordata; Aves; Anseriformes; Anatidae
Description: lncRNA (ENSAPLG00000016922.1)
Source: RNAcentral
CAGCAGGCAAGCCCCUGGGUAUCCAGGCUCCCUCCACAGUUAAUGUAAAGUGCAAGGCACCUCCACAGACUAGUUGGUAUGCAGCCCAAUGUACCCAAUUGUAUGUAAAUGGGGGGCACAAUUUGGAUUUGGAAAUAGAUGGCUUUGUUUGGGUGGUGAUACAUGGAGCAUGACUGGCCCAUUCAGGUUGCUAACUCAUUUUGCCCUUGCAGCAGGAAUCAGAGAGGAUCCAUCCAUAGCAGAGUUAGCAGUACAAUGGACACACUGCUUUUGAUCCAAGUUCUGAGAGAAAAUGUUCGAAGCGUCAUGAGAAUACAUUCUUGUUUUAUUCCUGCAGAGAUGUGGCUCAUCAAAAUCCGCUUCAGAAGACAAGGAUCCUGAGAUGGCUGAAGGACUUUGUACUCAGGAUUUUUCAAGACAUGUGGUGUAUCAUGCUCCCUGGCUCCUUGUGGGACCAGCCUGGUUUUCUGCUUUCCUCUGUUGGCAAAGGAUGGUGAAGGCAGAAAACUCCUUCUGCUGUCUUGGGAGAUGUCAACUCUGGACCUCUAAGCGGUUGAUGCCUGCCAAUGCUGACUGGUCAGGUGAGAUUCCUCAGUGCAAGUACGCAGUGGGAGCUUUGGCUCCGCACCAGAAAGGAGGCAGAAGAAUGAAGGAAUGCUCUCCUGGCUCCCCUCCAGGUAGCAGGGAAGGCGACGAGGACUGUCCAUUGUAUGAGACAAACUGUAAUUUCAGUCCAUGCAGAUGGAGGAGAAAUGCAAUUUGUACAGAACAGGCAGGUAAUGUUCUUCCCUCAAACACUAUUUCAUGA